Molecule: ribosomal RNA, 500 nt
Filed under: uncultured bacterium
Lineage: Bacteria
Description: partial 16S ribosomal RNA
Rfam family: Bacterial small subunit ribosomal RNA
Source: RNAcentral
AUUGAACGCUGGCGGCAUGCCUUACACAUGCAAGUCGAACGGCAGCACGGGAGCAAUCCUGGUGGCGAGUGGCGAACGGGUGAGUAAUACAUCGGAACGUGCCCAGUAGUGGGGGAUAGCCCGGCGAAAGCCGGAUUAAUACCGCAUGAGACCUGAGGGUGAAAGCGGGGGAUCGCAAGACCUCGCGCUAUUGGAGCGGCCGAUGUCAGAUUAGCUAGUUGGUGGGGUAAAGGCCUACCAAGGCAACGAUGUGGAGUUGGUCUGAGAGGACGACAAGCCACAUUGGGACUGGGACACGGCCCAGACUCCUCCGGGAGGCAGCAGUGGGGAAUUUUGGACAAUGGGCGCAAGCCUUAUCCAGCAAUGCCGCGUGCAGGAAGAAGGCCUUCGGGUUGUAAACUGCUUUUGUCAGGGAAGAAAUCCUCUGGGUUAAUACCUCGGGGGGAUAACGGUACCUGAAGAAUAAGCACCGGCUAACUACGUGCCAGCCGCCGCCGUAA